Molecule: ribosomal RNA, 1321 nt
Filed under: Shigella boydii
Lineage: Bacteria; Pseudomonadati; Pseudomonadota; Gammaproteobacteria; Enterobacterales; Enterobacteriaceae
Description: bacterial SSU rRNA
Rfam family: Bacterial small subunit ribosomal RNA
Source: RNAcentral
CCAGAUGGGAUUAGCUUGUUGGUGGGGUAACGGCUCACCAAGGCGACGAUCCCUAGCUGGUCUGAGAGGAUGACCAGCCACACUGGAACUGAGACACGGUCCAGACUCCUACGGGAGGCAGCAGUGGGGAAUAUUGCACAAUGGGCGCAAGCCUGAUGCAGCCAUGCCGCGUGUAUGAAGAAGGCCUUCGGGUUGUAAAGUACUUUCAGCGGGGAGGAAGGGAGUAAAGUUAAUACCUUUGCUCAUUGACGUUAUCCGCAGAAGAAGCACCGGCUAACUCCGUGCCAGCAGCCGCGGUAAUACGGAGGGUGCAAGCGUUAAUCGGAAUUACUGGGCGUAAAGCGCACGCAGGCGGUUUGUUAAGUCAGAUGUGAAAUCCCCGGGCUCAACCUGGGAACUGCAUCUGAUACUGGCAAGCUUGAGUCUCGUAGAGGGGGGUAGAAUUCCAGGUGUAGCGGUGAAAUGCGUAGAGAUCUGGAGGAAUACCGGUGGCGAAGGCGGCCCCCUGGACGAAGACUGACGCUCAGGUGCGAAAGCGUGGGGAGCAAACAGGAUUAGAUACCCUGGUAGUCCACGCCGUAAACGAUGUCGACUUGGAGGUUGUGCCCUUGAGGCGUGGCUUCCGGAGCUAACGCGUUAAGUCGACCGCCUGGGGAGUACGGCCGCAAGGUUAAAACUCAAAUGAAUUGACGGGGGCCCGCACAAGCGGUGGAGCAUGUGGUUUAAUUCGAUGCAACGCGAAGAACCUUACCUGGUCUUGACAUCCACGGAAGUUUUCAGAGAUGAGAAUGUGCCUUCGGGAACCGUGAGACAGGUGCUGCAUGGCUGUCGUCAGCUCGUGUUGUGAAAUGUUGGGUUAAGUCCCGCAACGAGCGCAACCCUUAUCCUUUGUUGCCAGCGGUCCGGCCGGGAACUCAAAGGAGACUGCCAGUGAUAAACUGGAGGAAGGUGGGGACGACGUCAAGUCAUCAUGGCCCUUACGACCAGGGCUACACACGUGCUACAAUGGCGCAUACAAAGAGAAGCGACCUCGCGAGAGCAAGCGGACCUCAUAAAGUGCGUCGUAGUCCGGAUUGGAGUCUGCAACUCGACUCCAUGAAGUCGGAAUCGCUAGUAAUCGUGGAUCAGAAUGCCACGGUGAAUACGUUCCCGGGCCUUGUACACACCGCCCGUCACACCAUGGGAGUGGGUUGCAAAAGAAGUAGGUAGCUUAACCUUCGGGAGGGCGCUUACCACUUUGUGAUUCAUGACUGGGGUGAAGUCGUAACAAGGUAACCGUAGGGGAACCUGCGGUUGGAUCACCUCCUUACCUUAAAGAAGC